CACAAUAAAAUAUGAAGGCUGUACGCGGCUGUGCUCUCGGGCCAGUUUUGCGGAGGCUGAAUUAUUUAUUACCCUUUGUCUUUUGCGCACUUGUUGUUCCUGGGCGGGUUCGCCCGCCACCAGGACCACAUCAUAAACCUUUUUAUGCAGUUGCAAUCAGCGUCAGUAUAACAAAUGUAAAUCAUUUA
RNAcentral lists this unclassified non-coding RNA (188 nucleotides) under soil metagenome. RNAcentral describes it as "partial internal transcribed spacer 1". The record is from RNAcentral.